This 2149-nucleotide ribosomal RNA is filed under the name Escherichia coli. Its description in RNAcentral is "partial 23S ribosomal RNA". It matches the Rfam family "Bacterial large subunit ribosomal RNA", at positions 1 to 2165 of the family's 2925-position model. Lineage: Bacteria; Pseudomonadati; Pseudomonadota; Gammaproteobacteria; Enterobacterales; Enterobacteriaceae. The record is from RNAcentral.
GGGUUGUGAGGUUAAGCGACUAAGCGUACACGGUGGAUGCCCUGGCAGUCAGAGGCGAUGAAGGACGUGCUAAUCUGCGAUAAGCGUCGGUGAGGUGAUAUGAACCGUUAUAACCGGCGAUUUCCGAAUGGGGAAACCCAGUGUGUUUCGACACACUAUCAUUAACUGAAUCCAUAGGUUAAUGAGGCGAACCGGGGGAACUGAAACAUCUAAGUACCCCGAGGAAAAGAAAUCAACCGAGAUUCCCCCAGUAGCGGCGAGCGAACGGGGAGCAGCCCAGAGCCUGAAUCAGUGUGUGUGUUAGUGGAAGCGUCUGGAAAGGCGCGCGAUACAGGGUGACAGCCCCGUACACAAAAAUGCACAUGCUGUGAGCUCGAUGAGUAGGGCGGGACACGUGGUAUCCUGUCUGAAUAUGGGGGGACCAUCCUCCAAGGCUAAAUACUCCUGACUGACCGAUAGUGAACCAGUACCGUGAGGGAAAGGCGAAAAGAACCCCGGCGAGGGGAGUGAAAAAGAACCUGAAACCGUGUACGUACAAGCAGUGGGAGCCUCUUUAUGGGGUGACUGCGUACCUUUUGUAUAAUGGGUCAGCGACUUAUAUUCUGUAGCAAGGUUAACCGAAUAGGGGAGCCGAAGGGAAACCGAGUCUUAACUGGGCGUUAAGUUGCAGGGUAUAGACCCGAAACCCGGUGAUCUAGCCAUGGGCAGGUUGAAGGUUGGGUAACACUAACUGGAGGACCGAACCGACUAAUGUUGAAAAAUUAGCGGAUGACUUGUGGCUGGGGGUGAAAGGCCAAUCAAACCGGGAGAUAGCUGGUUCUCCCCGAAAGCUAUUUAGGUAGCGCCUCGUGAAUUCAUCUCCGGGGGUAGAGCACUGUUUCGGCAAGGGGGUCAUCCCGACUUACCAACCCGAUGCAAACUGCGAAUACCGGAGAAUGUUAUCACGGGAGACACACGGCGGGUGCUAACGUCCGUCGUGAAGAGGGAAACAACCCAGACCGCCAGCUAAGGUCCCAAAGUCAUGGUUAAGUGGGAAACGAUGUGGGAAGGCCCAGACAGCCAGGAUGUUGGCUUAGAAGCAGCCAUCAUUUAAAGAAAGCGUAAUAGCUCACUGGUCGAGUCGGCCUGCGCGGAAGAUGUAACGGGGCUAAACCAUGCACCGAAGCUGCGGCAGCGACGCUUAUGCGUUGUUGGGUAGGGGAGCGUUCUGUAAGCCUGCGAAGGUGUGCUGUGAGGUAUGCUGGAGGUAUCAGAAGUGCGAAUGCUGACAUAAGUAACGAUAAAGCGGGUGAAAAGCCCGCUCGCCGGAAGACCAAGGGUUCCUGUCCAACGUUAAUCGGGGCAGGGUGAGUCGACCCCUAAGGCGAGGCCGAAAGGCGUAGUCGAUGGGAAACAGGUUAAUAUUCCUGUACUUGGUGUUACUGCGAAGGGGGGACGGAGAAGGCUAUGUUGGCCGGGCGACGGUUGUCCCGGUUUAAGCGUGUAGGCUGAUUUUCCAGGCAAAUCCGGAAAAUCAAGGCUGAGGCGUGAUGACGAGGCACUACGGUGCUGAAGCAACAAAUGCCCUGCUUCCAGGAAAAGCCUCUAAGCAUCAGGUAACAUCAAAUCGUACCCCAAACCGACACAGGUGGUCAGGUAGAGAAUACCAAGGCGCUUGAGAGAACUCGGGUGAAGGAACUAGGCAAAAUGGUGCCGUAACUUCGGGAGAAGGCACGCUGAUAUGUAGGUGAAGCGACUUGCUCGUGGAGCUGAAAUCAGUCGAAGAUACCAGCUGGCUGCAACUGUUUAUUAAAAACACAGCACUGUGCAAACACGAAAGUGGACGUAUACGGUGUGACGCCUGCCCGGUGCCGGAAGGUUAAUUGAUGGGGUUAGCGGUAACGCGAAGCUCUUGAUCGAAGCCCCGGUAAACGGCGGCCGUAACUAUAACGGUCCUAAGGUAGCGAAAUUCCUUGUCGGGUAAGUUCCGACCUGCACGAAUGGCGUAAUGAUGGCCAGGCUGUCUCCACCCGAGACUCAGUGAAAUUGAACUCGCUGUGAAGAUGCAGUGUACCCGCGGCAAGACGGAAAGACCCCGUGAACCUUUACUAUAGCUUGACACUGAACAUUGAGCCUUGAUGUGUAGGAUAGGUGGGAGGCUUUGAAGUGU